AAAAAGAGAAACCUGGUUUCCGUGUCCAACGUUUCACCGUCCGUCUUAUUUAAAAAAAUUAUAAAAAAAUUUAAAAAGAUAAGUCAAGCAUAAAGUAUUAAUCAUGUUUUAUCAUCUAACAACAAUGAAAAUACUAAUUAUAAAAAAAUUUCAUAUAAGACGGACAGUCAAACGUUGGCACGGGAACCCACAGUUUGUCUUUUU
RNAcentral lists this microRNA precursor (204 nucleotides) under Oryza sativa Japonica Group (Japanese rice). RNAcentral's name for it is "MIR812 microRNA precursor family". It matches the Rfam family "MIR812 microRNA precursor family". The record is from Rfam by way of RNAcentral. Lineage: Eukaryota; Viridiplantae; Streptophyta; Magnoliopsida; Poales; Poaceae.